Molecule: long non-coding RNA, 572 nt
Organism: Dreissena polymorpha
Lineage: Eukaryota; Metazoa; Mollusca; Bivalvia; Myida; Dreissenidae
Exons: 2
Source: RefSeq, a predicted model, not a curated record
AUGCCCCCCUUCGAAGAAGAGGGGGUAUAUUGCUUUGCUCAUGUCGGUCGGUCGGUAUGUCGGUCCGUCCACCAGGUGGUUUCCGGAUGAUAACUCAAGAACGCUUGGGGCUAGGAUCAUGAAACUUCAUAGGUACAUUGAUCAUGACUUGCAGAUGACCCCUAUUGAUUUUGAGGUCACUAGGUCAAAGGUCAAGGUCACGGUGACCCGAAAUAGUAAAAUGGUUUCCGGAUGAUAACUCAAGAACGCAUACGCCUAGGAUCAUGAAACUUCAUGGGUAGAUUGAUCAUGACUCGCAGAUGACCCCUAUCGAUUUUGAGGUCACUAGGUCAAAGGUCAAGGUCACGGUGACCCGAAAUAGUAAAAUGGUUUUCGGAUGAUAACUCAAGAACGCAUACGCCUAGGAUCAUGAAACUUCAUAGGUAUAUUGAUCAUUACUCGCAGAUGACCCCUAUUGAUUUUGAGGUCACAAGGUCAAAGGUCAAGGUCACAGUGACCCGAAAUAGUAAAAUGAUUUUCUGAUGAUAACUCAAGAACGCUUUUGCCUAAGAUCAUGACACUUCAUAGGUACA